This is a small nucleolar RNA of Ictidomys tridecemlineatus (thirteen-lined ground squirrel), 124 nucleotides long. NCBI's taxonomy places the organism in Eukaryota, Metazoa, Chordata, Mammalia, Rodentia, Sciuridae. The record is from Ensembl.
GGCCUCCUAAUACUUACCUAAGGCUAUGUUCUUAUACUAACUAUAUAGAAAGAUGAGAGUAUGCCAAUUGUACACCUCAGCCCAAGCCCUGUGCCUGGUCUGUAUUGUGAAUGGGGAGACAUAG